RNAcentral lists this unclassified non-coding RNA (242 nucleotides) under uncultured bacterium. RNAcentral's name for it is "contains 16S-23S intergenic spacer region". The record is from RNAcentral.
AGCAAUACGAUAACGAGCUCAAGAUCAUUCGCUUCAUCCGCGAGCGCAGCAAGGAGCUGCUGCGGCAAAUGGGAGUCGAAAGGAUCUGGACUGGUCCCGAGUUGACCGGCGUCGGCAGCUCGCACGAUCUCGGCGGUCUCCGGAUGGGCACCGAUGAGGCGUCGUCGGUCGUUAACGCCGAUCUCAUGGCGCACGAGGUGCCCAACCUCUACGUGAUGAGCGGGGCGACCUUUCCCUCGGUA